Molecule: ribosomal RNA, 443 nt
Filed under: uncultured bacterium
Lineage: Bacteria
Description: partial 16S ribosomal RNA
Rfam family: Bacterial small subunit ribosomal RNA
Source: RNAcentral
CCUACGGGCGGCAGCAGUGGGGAAUAUUGCACAAUGGGCGAAAGCCUGAUGCAGCAACGCCGCGUGAAGGAAGAAGGGUUUCGGCUCGUAAACUUCUAUCAACAGGGACGAAAGAAAUGACGGUACCUGCAUAAGAAGCCCCGGCUAACUACGAGCCAGGAGCCGCGGUAAGACGUAGGGGGCAAGCGUUAUCCGGAAUUACUGGGUGUAAAGGGUGAGUAGGCGGCAUGGUAAGCCAGAUGUGAAAGCCUUGGGCUUAACCCGAGGAUUGCAUUUGGAACUAUCAAGCUAGAGUACAGGAGAGGAAAGCGGAAUUCCUAGUGUAGCGGUGAAAUGCGUAGAUAUUAGGAAGAACACCAGUGGCGAAGGCGGCUUUCUGGACUGAAACUGACGCUGAGGCACGAAAGCGUGGGGAGCGAACAGGAUUAGAUACCCUAGUAGUC